RNAcentral lists this long non-coding RNA (15016 nucleotides) under Nicotiana tabacum (common tobacco). RNAcentral describes it as "long non-coding RNA (NTAB_LNC007909)". The record is from RNAcentral. Lineage: Eukaryota; Viridiplantae; Streptophyta; Magnoliopsida; Solanales; Solanaceae.
UGUUGAAGUUUGGACAAAAUGGUUCCUGUUCACGUUCUUGGUUUCAAACCAAGACCAGAUUGAAGCUAAAGACACGAAGUGAAAUGAAGUCAAAGACACAAAGUGAAGCUUGUUUUGAAAUGAAAUUUGCUUCUGCUUCAACACUUCUUUUGAGCUAAGGUUAAUACUUUAACCACAUGAUCCAUGUUCUGAUCCUAAAUGAAAUAACAUUCCUACUAAAGUUACAUUGUACCUUAGGUGACCACAUGGAUUUAAUGACUUAUGAGUCCUGUUUAGCCAUUGUGGCUUUAUGCCACGUGAGAGGGUGGGUGAAGAUUAUUAAUCUUUACCCACUUAUUAGUUAACUGGGUAAUGUCCCAUUACCCGGUAAUUAUUCAAUUACCCGCAUAAUUUAAAAAUUACCACAAAUUACUUAAAAUUCUAUUUAUUUUUAAAAUACUUCAUAUAUACUUUAUAUAUUAUACUGCCGUGGUCAUAUGGUACCUUGCAUGGUACUAGUUUAUAAUUAUCGGGUAUUAUCACUCGACCCGUAUUUUACUCCAAAUUGGCCACUUUCAACGAAACUCGUUUUCUUUAAUCUGUGUACCCCUUUAUCCUUCAUAACACUUAUUUAUUGCUUGUAAUAAGUGGCGUAAGUACGUUAACGUCACGAUGAUAUCAUCCCCGAGUCUAAGUCAGUUAACUAAAAAUGAAAUUUUAACGUACGAAAACGUGAGAUGUAAUAUCUUUCCUCUUUAGAAACAUUCGUCCUCGAAUGUUUAACUCUCCAGGAUUUAUAUAACCUUGGUAGAGUCGCCUUUGUAACAAUGCUACUACCAACUCCUCUUAUAGAAACCCAGUAAUUUAACGCCACAUAGGACCACAAUCAUUAAUAACAACGAUGGCCUCACACGACCAAUAACAUUAGCUAGCACAAGAAUUCGUACACGCACCUUGAGGUUAUGACGUCUCAGUCGAACCCUUUUUUGGAGGAGCAAAUAAGUAGGGAUAUCUAGACUUCAUGUCUUGCUCGGCCUCCCAAGUCAUUUCUUCCACAUUGUUGUUCCUCCAAUGUACUUUCACAAAGGUUACCUCCUUAUUCCGUAGCUUACAGAUUUGUCGAUCUAGAAUGGCAACCGGAAUUUCCUCGUAUGACAAGUCCUCUGUAAUCUGUACAUCAUUCGUGGGCACCACUCAGGUAGGAUCGCCAAUGCACUUACGUCACAUAGAUAUGUGAAAAACCAGAUGAAUAGACUCCAAUUUCGAGAGAAAUACUAACUCAUAAGCUACUUGGUGCACUCUCCGAAUGAUCCUAUAAGGCCCAAUAUACUGUGGGCUAAGCUUUCCUUAGGUGACACCUUUAAGAAUACACCGUCAUUAACCCCAAACUCUAAAUCCCGACGCUGCACAUCAGAAUAUGACUUCUAACGACUCUGAGUUGUCAAUAGUCAAUCCCAAAUCAAAUUUACCUUUUCUAUGACUUGCUGAACUAGGUCUGGCCCAUGUAAUCCAGAUUCUCCAACAUCAAACCACCCUAGAGGCGACCUACACUUCCGUCCGUAUAAAGCUUCGUAUGAAGCCAUCUGAAUACUGGAAUGGUAGCUAUUAUUAUAUGCGAACUCAACAAGCAGCAGAUGAUCAUCCCAGUUACCUUUGAAGUCCAUUACACAAGCUCGUAACGUAUCCUCCAGUGACUGAAUAGUAUGCUCAGCCUAUCCGUUUGUCUAGGGAUGAAAUGUUGUAUUAAGACUUACUUAAGUCCUCAAUCCUUUUUGGAAUGACCUCCAAAAGUUAGCUGUAAAUUGAGCUCCUCUAUCUGAGAUAAUAGAUACAGGGACACCAUGCAGUCGUACUAUCUCAUUGAUAUAAAGCCUUGCAUAAUCCUCUGGGAAUAUGUAGUUCUAACGGGAAAAAAAUGGGCUGACUUUGUAAGCCUAUCAACAAUCACCCAUAACGAAUCGAACUUGCGCUAGGUAUGAGGUAAGCCUACGAUGAAGUCCAUAUUGAUUACUUCCCAUUUCCAAGUCGAAAUCCCCACAGCUUGCAAUAACCCACCGGGUUUCUGAUGCUCAAUUUUAACUUGCUGAUAGUUAGGACACUGAGCAACAAACUUUGCUAUAUCCUUUUUCAUUUCGUCCCACCAAUACACUUCCCUGAUAUCAUGAUACAUCUUUGUUGCUCCUAGAUGGAUAGAUGAAUGAGAAUAGUGAGUUUCUCCCAUAACUUGUCGGCGCAGCCCUAAAACAUUAGGCACACUUAAUCGUCCUCGAUAUCUGAGGACCCCAUCUUCUGUAAUUUCAAACGGUGUCUUCUCCUUCUGAAGCGUGGUAUCCCUUUAAUGAACUAACACAGAAUCCUCGUACUGGAAUUCCUUUACUUUAGUUACUAAAGAGGAUGUUGUCGUAUCCUGAAGAGUAUUUCCAAUGACACCUGAGUCCAGUAACUGAACUCCAAGACUAGCUAGCUGAUGAACCUUAUGGGCUAUUCCCCUUUUUUGGCUGUAAAUAUGACAGGCUACCCAUAGAUCUACGGCUAAGGGCGUCGGCUACUACGUUCACUUUCCCCGGAUGGAAUAAAAUAUCAAUGUCAUAAUCUUUAAGUAGCUACAACCAUCUCCUUUGACGUAAAUUCAAUUCUUUUCUUCUUUUUUUUGAAGAUAUACUGGAGGCUUUUAUGAUCCGCAUAGAUACUAACAUGAAUGCCAUAAAAGUAGUGCCUCCACGUCUUUAGUGUAUGAAUCACCAAGGCUAAAUCUAAAUCGUAGGUCGGGUAGUUCUUCUCGUGCUUACUUAGUUGUCCAGAAGCAUAAGAUACAACCUUACUAAGCUGCAUCAGCACACGGUCUAAUCCCACGCUUGAAGCGUCACAAUAGAUAACAUAACCAUCGGUCCUUUCUGGGAGCGGUAGAACUGGUGCUGAAGUUAAUCUAUCCUUCAAUGCCUGGAAACUCCGUUCGCAAGGAUUGGUCCAUUGAAACUUAGUUCCCUUCUGAGUUAACUUACAUGGGUAUCCUAUUUUUUUUUACAAUUCAGGAAAUUCCCCUUUUCGGAGGCCAAAACUUCAUCCCUUAUCCAUCACAAUUACGCCCUUAUCCCACUAUUAGGGUAGUAUUUCAUCUAUUCUAAAUGUUACUAGUCUUAGACUCCUUUAAAUUCUUUCAGGCUAUACUGAGCCUUCUGUAACUUAGAGAAAUCAUCAGCUUUCUUAUGAACUUAUUCCCAAAUGACUUAUCCAUUCUCGUUACCUUUUUCACUCAUCUUUUCUUAUCUUUCCUCUUGUCUUCCUAAAACCUUGUCGCUUUAUCAUACUUUAGCUUGUGACCUACACAUAUCUAUUUAUACUUAUUCUCAACCUUUCUUCAACCUGCUUGCACCAUAGAUUUCCUUAUGUUAUUCUAGAACAUCAAGGAAGACACCACAUACCACUUUGGUCAAAUGUGCUUAGACGAGAAGAAAAUUUCGUUACAAGAGUCUUGUAAUAACCUGCCAAAUGGAGAAUCUACAAACCUUCAUCGGUGUUGUGGGUCUAGGCAAAGUCUUCACUACCUCAGUCUCUUGUGUAUCCACUCGGAUGUCUUUACUCGAAAUAAUAUGCCUAAGGAAAGCUACAGAGUUCAACCAGAAUUCAUAUUUAGAAAAUUUUGCAUACAACUUUCCUUCUUGUAGAACUCUAAGAACAGUACGUAGAUGAUCUGUAUGCUCAUCCUCUGAACGAGAAUAUACCAAUAUAUCCUCGAUAAAUACAAUUACGAACAGAUCUAAGAAAGGCCUGAACACACGGUUCAUCAAAUGCAUGAAUACUGCUGGGGCAUUGGUCAGACCGAACGACAUAAUCCGAAACUCAAAGUGCCCAUAUCUAGUUCUGAAUGUUGUCUUCGGAAUAUCUUUAUCCUUAACCCUUACCUGAUGGUACCCGAAUCUCAGGUCUAUCUUUGAAAAACACUUGGCACCUUAUAACAGAUCAAAUAGAUCAUCAAUUCUCGGGAGCGAGUAUUUAUUCUUGAUUAUCACCUUAUUCAGUUGCCUAUAAUCAAUACACAUUCAUAAGGAACCAUCUUUAUUUCUCACAAACAACACAGGUGCUCCCCAUGGUGACGUACUAGGUCUUAUAAAACCUUUUUCAAACAAGUCCCUUAGUUGUUCCUUUAACUCUUUCAGCUCUGUGGGGGCCAUUCUAUAGGGGGAAUAGAUAUUGGAUGAGUACCUGGUAGUAGGUCAAUGACAAACUCAAUUUCUUGCUCUGGCGGAAGACCUGGAAGUUCAUUGGGAAAAACAUCGGGAAACUCAUUAACCACUGGGAUGGACUAAAUGGUUGGUGACCCUACUUCCAUAUCUAGAACCCGAACUAAGUGAUAAAUUCAGCCCUUAUUGAUCAUCUUCCUUGCCUUGAGAUAGGAGAUAAAUUUACCUCUGGGUGAUGUCGUAUUACCUUCCCAUUCUAAAACCGGCUCUCCUGGGGACUGAAAUUAAACCAUCCUUGACCUACACUUGAUGUUAGCAUAACAAAAAGCCAACCAAUCCCUACCUAUUAUAAUAUUAAGUUCUACCCAACCGAACACCACAUACCUUAUCCUUGUUUAUUAUCAAAUCUAUCACAGGCCAUUAUGGCGACAUCCAUAUAUAUAAGUAACAAUAUUAAGACUUAACUCGCAUAACUAAUUUAGAAAAAGUUUUAUAUACAUAGGGGUCGACUAGGCCGUAGACAUAUCAUACCCAAAACUAUAUACAAGAUAUUGUCUGUAAAACCUCUAAGUAGGAAUAACCAUAAUAUAUAUACAAGCCGGGACGGGGCUCCCUACAUCCUCAUAAAACAACCAAACACAUUUAGAACCCUAACUUGGUAAUAUUNNNNNNNNNNNNNNNNNNNNNNNNNNNNNNNNNNNNNNNNNNNNNNNNNNNNNNNNNNNNNNNNNNNNNNNNNNNNNNNNNNNNNNNNNNNNNNNNNNNNNNNNNNNNNNNNNNNNUAUCCAGUUACCUUCCUCCUCUUGGCCCGACUACUAUUUUCUUCUUCUGCGUAUCCCAUAACAUACCACGGCGAACCUUGAUUGAUGGACUCCCAAGACUGUGGACUAUCCGGAACCUCAGAAGAGCUGGUGUCCUCAAAUACCUUGACAUAGUUUUGAGCCUGAGAGAAUUUCGGUUGUGCCAAUCCAUACACUACUCCCCUCAUACCCUGAUCAACAGGCUGUAAAUCUAAGGGCCUUGGUGAGGUUGGAACUCCUCUCACCCUAUCUACUACCGAAGUGGUCGAAAAAACUCGAAUGGAUGACUCAUAUGGAUCCUCGGAUGGAUCCUCCUCAACAGAACCCAUGAUCUCCGAUGGGUCUGAAUCCAUGGUAUAACUUAUCUCUCUUUCUAACACCUUCCUAGACUUCUGACCUGUGCUAGCGGCUGUAGUCUUCGGAGGCAUCGCUGAAAACAUAACACGUCGUUAGGAACAUUAAUGCUUAUAUUGCACAAUCUAAGAUAAGAAGAGAGGAUAACAUCCUAUAUGUCAUGUAGCCUCCAGUCUAUAAGUGUGGUGCACAACACACCCAUAAACAAGACUCUACUAGACACGGUCUGGAGACAACCCUAAUACCGAACUACUCUGAUGCCACUUUCAUCACGACCCAAACCUAUGGUCGCGACGGGUGUCUGAGUCCUACCUAUCAAACACCCAUAAGCAUGCAUUUAAGAUAUGAACUUGUAUAACAUCUGUUGAACUACGAAGAUAACAUACAUGAAGGAAACCUGCCAACAAGGCAUAUGUACUUAUACAUGCAAAAUACAGUGGGCGAGUCGGCAAGGCUGCUAUAGACAACUCCAUAUCCAAUAACUGAAAGCUGACAAGGCCACAUACAACACAACUAGACAUUCUUUCUACAGACCUCUAAAAGUAUCAUAACUGUACAAAGACGAGACCGAGCCAUGUCAUACCCAUAUAAUAUAUAUAUAUAUAUAAAUGUAUCGUACCAAAAUCAAAAGCAGCUCCGAAUCAAGUGGAGCACGCCAAUUUUCGCUGAUCAGGGAUCCUAAGAAGGGGGACCGUCAGCUUGCCGACCUGCACCUGCGGGCACGAAAUGUAGACACUAUGAAAUAGGGAGUCAGUACGAAAAUAUGUACUGAGUAUGUAAGGCAUGAAAAUUAGUACGUAAAAGACAUAGAUAAAACAUGGAAUAAAGAAACACAUCUUUAAAUCUUAGUAACUUUAUAAAUUCUGAAACGUUUAUAAUGUCAUGCACGUGCGUAUAAAUGUCAUACCAUGCAUAGGUAUGGGUGUACAUUAUAUCAUCAAGCCACUGAGGUCAUCCCAUCAUAUCGUCUCGACCACUAUGGGCAACAUCAUCAACAUAUACCUGCUGAUCAGGUGGUAGUGCAUAUAUAACGCCGUAACAUUUUUCCAUAUCCCAUAUACAUAUAUUUACAUAUAUACACAUAUAUAACGCCAUCUGGUCAUGGGUCAAUGCACAUGUAUAAAUGAGUGAAAUGCAUGAAAAAUACGUAAUAAUCUCAAUAUUCCUUCCGGAUAAACUUUUUCAACUGCCUAUUAUUCUGAGACCCAUGAACAGAAGAUAAUAAUAAUUCUCAUGGCGAAUCAAAAAUAUAGACACCCCUAGUAUUUCUAUGAACAGAGUAAUUUAUGGAAACUGUGUGUUUGCUCGUUUCUUCUGUAUAAUUCGGACCAUGCCAAAAGAAAGAAGGGAUGGCCUUAACAUGCCUGGAGUAGGAAAAACUCCGUAUAAUAUUCUGUUGGAAACCUUCGUAGAUUGAACUUAGAACCUAAAAAUCGGAUUAAGCUUCUACGCUUUGUAAUUGAGGAACGAAAUCUUGCUUUGAUUUGUUGAAGUUUGGACGAAAUGGUUCAUGUUCACGUUCUUGGUUUCAAACCAAGAAUAGAUUGAAGCUAAAGACACAAAAUGAAAUGAAGUCAAAGACACAAAGUGAAGCUUGUUUUGAAAUGAAAUUUGCUUCUGCUUCAACACUUCUUUUGAGCUAAGGUUAAUACUCUAACCACAUGAUCCAUGUUCUGAUCCUAAAUGAAAUAAGAUUCCUACUAAAGUUACAUUAUACCUUAGGUGGCCACAUAGAUUUAAUGACUUAUGAGUCAUGUUUAGCCAUUGUGUCUUUAUGCCACGUGGGAGGGUGGGUGAAGAUUAUUAAUCUUUACCCACUUAUUAGUUAAUUGUGUAAUGUCCCCUUAUCCGGUAAUUCAUCAAUUACUCGCAUAAUUUAAAAAUUACCACAAAUUACUUAAAAUUCUAUUUAUUUUUAAAAUUCUUCAUAUGUACUUUAUAUAUUAUACUAUCGUGGUCAUAUGGUACCUUGCAUGAUACUAGUUCAUAAUUAUCGGGUAUUAUAGCUCGACCCGUAUUUUACUCCAAAUUGGCCACUUUCAACGAAACUUGUUUUCUUUAAUUUGUGUACCCCUUUAUCAUUCAUAACACUUAUGUAUCACUUGUUAUAAAUGGCGUAACUACGUUAACAUCAAGAUGAUCUCAUCCCCGAGUCUACGUCAGUUAAUUGAAACGAAUUUUAACGUACGAAAAUGCGAGAUGUAAUACUUAGCCCCAUGCAGAGAACAAAUAAGAAUAGGAUACUUCUUAUCUGGAGAUGUAUUCGUGUCUGGUAACCUGAUCGUUAGGACUUUGGUAUGUGUAUGUUUGCGAAUGCUUCUGUUAUGUUCACCAUGACUGCAUCCAAAGAAAAAUUUUAAGUUUUGUAAGGGGAGGUUGGUUCGUGCCUUCGUUUGCUGGCUUUGCUUCGCUCCGUUCUGGAGGCCUUGUUUGAGUUGCCCUGGGUAGCACCUAACUGUCACAAAAAUAGAGUUUUCAAAAAUAUGCAUUUAUUGAUAAAAAUGAAGUUAUUUUUCACAAUGAAAUAUCAAGUAAUUUUGGAUGAACUAGUGAUCGUAACACAUUUCAGAGACAUUGCAGCUCUUCUUAUUUUAGAAUUUUGAGGAGGAUUUUCAAAAUUCUGCCCCAGUUUGGUAAAUGAUCCUUCGGUCGUUUGCGAGUGACGAAACUUGUUGAACCUUCUUCGGAAUUUUGAGAAUCAUUCUCAAAAUUCUAUCCCAGUUUCUUAACCAAUUUCUGACUGUUUGGCAUAUGCUGGCAUCGGCUAGACUUGCUUCGGAAUUUUGAGGGUCCUCAAAAUUCUGCCCCAAUUUUUGGUGCUGGGGAAAAUGUUAAUUUUAUUAAGAAUGUUAAUUUUAUUAAGAUAUGACUGAACCCACAAGACUGCCUACGUAUCCCAUCUUAAACGAGAAUCAGGUCAAGCGUAGUUCAAUUACAUCAGAUGAAGAAAUGUAAAUAGUCUAAAUAUAGUAUCUCUUAACUGAGUCUGAAUUGAUUGGUUUUGGCCAAAUUUCUCCACCCAUUUUUGCAAGUAUGAGUGCUCCUCCAGUUUGCACCCGGUGACCAAUGUAAGAACCUUGCCAGUUGGGAGUGAAUUUCCCUUUGGCUUCAUCUUGAUGCGAGAAGAUCUUCUUCAGUACCAACUGUCCUGGUGCGAAUUGCCUUGGUUUGACUCUUUUAUUGAAAGCUUUGGACAUUCUGUUCUGAUAAUUCUGACCGUGACAUACUGCAUUCAUUCUCUUUUCCUCUAUGAGGGCCAGUUGCUCAUAGCGGCUCCUUAUCCAUUCUACAUUGCUGAGUUCGACUUCCUGUAUGAUUCUUAAAGAAGGAAUCUCUACCUCGGCUGGAAUGACAACUUCGGUACCAUAAACCAGUAAAUAGGGAUUUUCCCAAGUUGAUGUGCGGACCGUAGUGCGGUAUCCCAAUAGGGCAAAGGGUAACUUCUCGUGCCAUUAUUUGUGAUUUUCUACCAUCUUCCUUAGUAUCUUCUUGAUGUUUUUGUUGGCAGCUUCCAUAACUCCAUUCAUUUGAGGCAUGUAUGUUAUAGAGUUUUUAUGCUUGAUUUUAAAGGUUUCGCACAUGGAUUUCAUCAGGUCACUGUUGACAUUGGUGGCAUUAUCAGUGAUAAUGGACUCGAGAACUCCAAAUUGGAAAACAAUACAAUCCUUGACAAAGUCCGCGACAACUUUCUUGGUUACAGCUUUGUAAGAUACGGCCACUACCCAUUUUGUGAAAUAGUCGAUGGCCAUUAAAAUGAACCGGUUCCCGUUUGAAGUGGUGGGCUCGAUCGAACCAAUGACAUCCAUUCCCCAGGCGACAAAAGGUUGUACGUACCGAAUGCAAUGGUCAUCCAAAAGUAUCCAGCUCUGAGUAUUUUCUUGGCUAGGACAAAAUCAUUUAUAUAUGGUCCACAAGUUCCGGCAUGUAUCUCCUCGAGCAAUCUGGAAGCUUCCUUUGCGUCAACACACCUUAAGAACCCCAGAUCAGGAGUUCUUCCAUACAAGGUCCCUCCGUUUUGGAAGAAGUGAUUGGAUAGCCUCCGCAAAGUGCAUUUUUGAAUAUGGUUUGCUUGCUCUAGAUAUUCUCCUCUUGCCAAAUAUUCUUUGAUAUCGUGGAACCAAGGUUUUCCAUCCGUUUCUUCUUCAAGAUGAGCACAGUAAACUGGCCGGUUGUGGAUUCCCACCGUGAUGGGAUCGAUGAAAUUCUUGUCUAGAUGUUGUAUCAUUGAUGACAAAGUAGCCAGUGCGUCUACAAACUCAUUUUAUAUUCUAGGUACAUGUUUGAAUUAUAUAUUUAUGAAUCUUUUCAUCAAUUCCUGCACAUGAUACAAGUAUGGUAGUAUCUUGGUGUUCUUCCUAGCCCACUCUCCUUGAACUUGAUGUACCAGAAUAUCUGAAUCUCCAAUCACCAGUAACUCCUAUAUAUUCAUAUUGAUGGCCAGAUUGAACCCCAUGAUGCAAGCCUCAUAUUCCGCCAUGUUGUUGGUUCAUGGAAACCUAAGCUUCGCAGAUACAGGGUAGUGUUGACCUGUUUCUGAUACCAAAACCGCUCCAACGCCCACUCCUUUGAAGUUUGCAGCUCCAUUGAAGAACAUCCUCCAACCGUCGUAAGAUUUAGUAAUGUCCUUUCCUACGAAUGAUACUUCUUCAUCGUGAAAAUACAUUUUCAAGGGUUUGUAUUCUCCUCCCACAGGAUUUUCAGCAAGAUGGUCUGCUAAUGCUUGUCCUUUGACCGCCUUCUGAGUUACAUAGACGAUGUCGAACUCACUUAACAGUAUCUGCCACUUGGCUAAUUUUUCAGUCGACAUGUGCUUCUGAAAGAUGUACUUCAAAGGGUCCAUACUGGAUAUGAGGUAUAUGGUAUAGGCACAGAAGUAAUUCCUCAAUUUCUGAGUUGUCUAGGUCAAAGCACAACAAGUGCGCUCCAACAGAGAGUAUCAUGCUUCAUAGGGUGUGAACUUCUGACUCAAGUAGUAUAUGGAUUGCUCCUUUCUCCCUAUCUCGCCAUGUUGUCCUAAAACACAUCCGAAAGCUCCAUAUAACACACAUAGAUAGAGUAGCAAAGGUCUCCCAGGUUCUGGAGGGACUAGGACUGGCUGUGUAGAUAGGUAUUCCUUGAUUUUUUCAAAAGCCUACUGACAAUCUUCGGUCCAACUUAUUUCAGCAUCUUUCCUCAAUAUUUUGAAGAUGGGUUCACAUAUAAGUAUGGACUGUGCUAUGAAACGACAGAUAUAGUUGAGACAUCCUAGGAAGCCCAUCACGUUCUUUUUGCUCUUUGGUAGUGGUAACUCCUAGAUAGCCUUAACUUUGGACGGGUCUAACUCGGUUCCUCGGCGGCUGACAAUGAAUCCCAGCAACUUUCCUGCGGGAACCCUGAAUGUACAUUUUGCGGGGUUUAGUUUUAAGUUGUCCUCCUUAACCUGUCAACGAACUUUCUCAAGUCUGCUAUGUGAUAUGCGUCCAUCUUGGAUUUGAUGAUUACGUCGUCAACAUACAUCUCUAUUUCCAUGUGUAUCAUAUCAUGGAGGAUGGUUGUCAUGGCUCUCAUGUAAGUUGCCCCAGCAUUCUUUAGACCGAGUGGAAUCAUCUUGUAGAAGUAUACUCCCCAUGGUGUGAUGAAAGCUAUUUUCUCUACGUCUUCUUCAUCCAUCCAUAUAUGGUGAUAACCAGCAAAGCAAUCUACAAAGGAUUGAAGUUCAUGCUUGGUGCAAGUGUCGAUCAGGAUAUGUAUGUUUGGAAGUGGAAAGUCGUCCUUUGGACUUGCUCUGUUUAAAUCUCGAUAGUCGACACAUACUCUGACUUUCCCAUCUUUCUUUGGAACUGGUACAAUAUUGGCUAACCAGGUUGGGUACUCAACUACUCUAAGUACUUUGGCCUUGAUCUGCUUAAUGACCUCCUCCUUGAUUUUCAUGCUCAUGUUUGGUUUGAAUUUUCUGAGUUUCUGCUUUACUGGCAGACACAUUGGAUUGGUAGGCAACUUGUGAGCCACUAUGGUUGUGCUCAGACCAGUCAUGUCAUCAUAUGACCAUGCAAAGAUAUCCUCAUAUUCCUUCAAAAAAUGAACAUACUCCUCUUUCCCUGGUAGUGAUAAGUGAAUGCUUACGCGAGUUUCCUUGACGGUUUCGACGUCUCCUAAAUUUACUGCUUCGGUUUUGUCCAGGUUAGACUUAAGCUUAUUCUCAAAGUUCUCGACCUCUUGGACAAUUUCCUCAGGUAUUUCAUCUUCUUCCUUCGAGUCACUAUCCUUAUGCUGUGUUGUCUCAUUACAUGUCACCAUCAUCGGUUCAUCAGGAAAAGUAAUAAUAAUGCUGUAGAAAGAAAAAUGUGAAAGAUAAUAAUGAAUAAUAAAUAGCAAUGCAUUAAUUAAAUUUGAAAAUAUCCAAAAUAAGUACGGCUCGACGAAUCGAGCAAUUAUUUUGAAACAAAACAAAAUUAUUGAAAACAUCUAAAAUACCUAGCAUGGCUAUGGAAAUAAUUUAGGCUAAGUGCCAAGCUACCCAGGGACUCGGUGGGCUCGGGAUGGUGACAGCCUAGUUCCUGAGAAUAGCUCAUUUCUCCACAGUCUGAAUGGUGACGCCUUCUUCCUUCUCCUCCUCAAUUAUCGCACCGUAAUACAUAUCCUCGUUCUCUAGGAACAGAUUCCUCAACCCAGCUAAAGCUUUUUCUUCUGUAGUUCCCCAUAUUUUAUCAGCCUGGUGAAAAGUCUGACCCAGAUGUGGCAUUGGUUGCUCGAGAAGGUAAUAAGGUCCUUGCCAUGGAGGUAACCAAUCAUCAUACUCUUGCCAUGUAUACUAGUAUCUGAGCCCGAAGGUUGUACCAUGACAUUUUAGCUGUGUUGGUUUGAUAAUGCCCUAGAGAUUCUUCCUAAGCCCUUUGCCUGGUUCAUACCCAGACCAUGUCAGUAUGCUUUAUAUUUUGUUACGCCACUAUUUGUCUUUCUCAACUGCAUUGACUUGUUCGAUAUGGUGAUAAGUUUCUCCUCCUAGCCUUCUUCUAUUCCCGAUAACCGGGAUGGUUUGACGGGUGUAAAUAGGGUUACUUUCAUCUCCGUGAAUGAUCCUUCCUAAUAAUUCCAUUCAAACUUCACGGCCUGGAGGAGUGUGGAAGCCAUAGCCCCAGCGGCAUGUAUCCAAGGUCGACCCAACAGAAGAGUGUAUGUAGCUGAUAUGUCAAGCACUUGGAAUUCAACAUCAAACUAAGUUGGCCUCAUUUGCAGGCAAAGAUUAAUCUCCCCAAUUUUAGCCCUUUGAGACCCAUCAAAGGCUUUCACGUUCAUACUUCCUGCCCGUAUUUCAUGGAAACCUUUGCCCAAUCUUUUCAGAGUGUUCAACGAAUAAAUAUUGAGGCUUGAACCUCCAUCGAUCAGGACUUUAGCAAUGAAUUUGUCUUCAAAUUGUACCGUGAUAUGCAGUGCCCGGUUAUGAUUCAACCUUUCAGGCAGUAAUUCAUCCUCGUGGAAGGUGAUCUUAUGGCUUUCCAGCACUUGCCCCACCAUGUUGGCCAUUUCUCCGCAGGUGAUAUUGUUGGGAACAUAAGCAUCAUUUAACACCUUCAUCAAAGCAUUCUUGUGUGCCUCUGAAUUUUGCAAGAGUGAUAGGAUGGAUAUCUGAGUAGGGGUUUUGUUCAAAUGAUCAAUGACGGAGUAUUCUCUCGCUUGUUCUUUCCUCCAAAGAUCAUCCGAUCCCAUUUCAAUGAUAGGUUGCUUAGUAGCAGCCUCUUUGCUUGAUCCUCCCAAGUGUUCCGGUGUAUAGAUCCUUCCCAUUCUGAUCAUUCCUUGUGUGGCAUCAGAUUCUUCCAUCUUUGCCUUUCCCUUUCGCCAAACUUCGACAACGUAAUCCCAAGGUAUGGCUUUGGAAUUAAAAGGAGGUGUGGUUGAUGUCACACCUUCUUUUUACCUACACCCCCGGAAGGGAGUAUAAGGGAGUUUUUUCCAACUUAAAGUGACAAUCGAAACGGGAUUAUUUUAUUAAAAAUUCAGAGUCUCCACUUGGGAUAAUUUAUGUUGUCCCAAGUCACUGGUUUAAAAUCCCAAAUUGAGGAAAGAUUGACUUUGUAUUACAGUCCGCGAACCAAAAAUCCGAGUAAGGAAUUCUGUUAACCCGGGAGAAGGUGUUAGGCAUUCCCGAGUUUCGUGGUUCUAGCACGGUCGCUCAACUGUUAUAUUCAGCUUAAUUAUCUGAUUUUAAUACAUGUUUUAACCUAUGGUGCAAUUUUAACUUUCAAACCGCUUUUAUUUAAUUUUUAAAGAAGACUAAACGUCGUUUAAAACACGUCUUUGGAUCGCGCAACAUGAAAUGCACCCGCAAUCCUAAACAUAUUUUAUUCAACAUUUUAAGAUUUAAUUUGGGUCACAUGAAAUGCACACCCGAGUUUAGGAAGGUAAUAUUAUUAAAAUACGCGCCCAAAGCAACUAACGCAUUUGCAGCUAUGCGAGGGCCGUGGAGAUUCAACUAAAUGGAACGCCUCGAAUUGUAAGGAUAAACAAGAUUAAUUAAAUGAGGGUCAUACAUACUUCUAGCGAUUAAAGUGAUAAAACAAAGUAGAACUAAAUAAAACAUGUUGAACCGAGUUUUACUUUUAAUUAAUAUUCAACAACCCAUGACUCCUUAUUAUUAUGUUUCAAGAUCGGAUCGCCCAUGGCCAAACAACCAUUUAAGAUACAUAACGAUCAACCAAGAUCAAUCAUUCAACAUGUAAAAGCAUUUAAAAUAAGCUAUGAGCUACACUAAAAAUGGUACGACAAAAUGAGUGGUCUUAAACAUGAGAACAAUCUUUGAACUUUGAUUAACACCAUCCAUGGUAAAAAUCUGAUUCCAAUUUAAAUAUCAUUGGCCACCACCCACUUAAACAAUUGGCAAUACCCUAUACCCUUUUUAACAAAAACUAAAGUUUCAUUCCAUUCCAGCAUAGGAUCCAUGGUCUAAUAUUUCAGCGAGAAUGCAAAACCAGAUGAUUAAAACCAACAAAAAACUAUGAUGAACUAUAAAUUUCGGUUAAGUCACAACUAGAAAAUAUCACGAUAAUCAUGAUAAAAAUUAUCAACAUAUGAGAAAUAAUAAAGAUAUCAGAAUGGACCUUUAUAACUGCAAUGUGUUUUUGAAACAACGGGUAGAAAAAUAAAACUCCAAGCCAAAGCUGUGAUUGAUGAGCUCAAUAGUCCGGACCUCGACGACCUUGAGCGGAAACUCGAACUCUAACCUCGAGUAGCAGCAGGGCUCGAAUCAGAAUCGACGUCGAACAAUCUCGAUCGGCGACGAGCUCGAAAACAGACAAAAGGGGUUCAAGGGGUCUUCAGCUGGAUUUUAUGGUGAGGAAGAUGACUGGAGUUCAGCCGGAUCUAGGUGGUCGUUGAUGGCUGUAGUUUUGUUUCAUCGAAGAAGAAGAAACAGCCAUGGGGAGUUCUAUCAUUUUGGCUGAGGAAGGAGAUCAAAUUCGCUGAGGGAGGGUCUUGUAUGAAAAUCAGCGCCUAGCUUAGGUCCUCGUGAAGAAGACGAAGACGAGGGGGUGGGGUCGACGGCGAGUCUUCUCCGGCAAGCUUAAAGUGGCCUGUUGCGAUAAUCGGUCUUGAAGAAGAAGCAGAUGAGCAGUGGCUCUCUUCUCUCUCGUUCAAGAAGAAGAAGCUCGAUGGGGGAGGGAUCUAUAUUUUUUGGUUCUUAAUCCUCCUGCUAUGCGCAGUUUUUUGCCCCUUUUCUUUUUGGUAGAU